Molecule: ribosomal RNA, 363 nt
Filed under: uncultured bacterium
Lineage: Bacteria
Description: bacterial SSU rRNA
Rfam family: Bacterial small subunit ribosomal RNA
Source: RNAcentral
AGCGAACGCUGGCGGCAGGCUUAACACAUGCAAGUCGAGCGGGCGUAGCAAUACGUCAGCGGCAGACGGGUGAGUAACGCGUGGGAACGUACCUUUUGGUUCGGAACAACACAGGGAAACUUGUGCUAAUACCGGAUAAGCCCUUACGGGGAAAGAUUUAUCGCCGAAAGAUCGGCCCGCGUCUGAUUAGCUAGUUGGUGAGGUAACGGCUCACCAAGGCGACGAUCAGUAGCUGGUCUGAGAGGAUGAUCAGCCACAUUGGGACUGAGACACGGCCCAGACUCCUACGGGAGGCAGCAGUGGGGAAUCUUGCGCAAUGGGCGAAAGCCUGACGCAGCGACGCCGCGUGGGGGAUGACGGCCU